AUGGUAAUGAAAUUUUAGGAUGUUGUCCUAGAGGUAUAAUGUGGACCUCUGGAAGUUAUGGAUUUAAAAUCUGAGUGGCAGAUCUUCCGGAUCGAUCUACGUAGUGACGUAUUUUAUAUAAGUUAUAUAUUCUAUCGAUAUGAAUUCUGAGGUUGGAUUUGAUUACUGUUCUAGGCGGCGAUCGUCAUGACGCCUUGAUGUGUGGUGCUAGGGAGUUGUUGGACGAACUCCAGGUGAGUGGGCAGUUUUGUUUUCCGUAUACAUAUAUAAUUGACGUUUCCCAGAAAUUGAAAAUGUUACGAAAGUAUGCUUUAAAUGCAAAGUAUAAAAGUAUGUUUUCAAAUGCCAUGAGUAGAUUAUAUGAAAGAUAUGAUUUGAGAUAUAUUAGUUGAAAUACCAUGCUUAGAAGUAUGUGAAAAGUAUAUAGAAAUGUGAAUCGAAAUGCCAUGCAUGAAAUGAUAUGAAAAGUAUGAAUUGAGAUAUGAUGCAUAUGUAUGAAUUGGUGCUGUGGACGCACAGGUGAGUAUCAGGUGAGUAUAUUACUGCUAUGAUGAUGUUGAGAUAUAUUGAGCUCAUAACCUGCACCUUGGUAUUAGUGCUUAUUAUUAUUCACCGCAUCGCAUGCUCACCUUGGAUCCAAGUAGAUGCUAGUCGUACAGACCACCGGGGGUGGUUCCGACAUGCCAGUCGUACAGACCAUUAGAGGGGUUCCGACUGGUAGGUGACCUUAGAUUAUGUGCACAGAUGAUUGAUGAGAAAAGCACUAGAGCAUAUUAUUACACCAUUAAGUCGUACAGAUUACAUUAGGUAAUUCCGACUUAUGUGCAGUGUAGUGCCGUACAGGUCAUACUAGGUGACUCCGGCAUGGCCGAACAGGUCACAGUUGGUGACUCCGGUUAUAUGAGAUUUUGAGCUCUACAUUCAGCCGUACAGGACCAUUGUAGGGUCUCCGGUUGAUUUCUUUCUUGCACCUGAUAUGAUUAUUGCUGAUGCAUUCAUACUUAACUGUUGAAUUUAGACAUGGCAUGGCAUGAUUGAUAAAGAUAAAUGUUGAGAUAGUAAAAAUGAAGUUUUGAUAAUAUAUAUGUAUAUUUAUAUUUUACAUUUCUGGGAAAGUAUACAGGUUUUACGGAGAGGGGUUACAACGUUUUGAGAAAUGUUUGGAUUUGGAAAAGAAUUGUUUUACUGACCCACUCAAUUUUGGUUUUGCGCCCCUCCAGGUUCAUGAAUCACAAAGGUGUGGUGACUACGAGGAAUUCGACGGUGUUCUGACAGAUUGGACAAAAUUAGGACUCACUUUCGGGUGUAUCAACUUAGGAAUUGUAUCUUAAAGCUUCCGUACUGUGCAAAUGGUUACGUCACUCUCACGUGACGGCCAGCAUGCCCUCCUUCGGGACGGGGUGUGUCAGUUGGUAUCAGAGCAUGGUUGCAAUCUUGGACAUUUUGAGAAGUUCUAGUGAAUUCUGUCAGAACUACACCGCCUCGUAGCAAGCCACUUAGUUAGAGGAAUUUAGUCUCCCUAAUAUAACGGUUUAGGGGAAACUAUUAUUAUGGUGAUUCAGUCUAUUAUAAAAAGGGACAUUUUAAGAUGGGUUAUGAGUUGAAUUUGAAUCACUUAAGAGAAAUGAUGAACCUGAGGGAGCGAAGUAACGGUUUAACCAUUUGGAAAAGAUGUUUCGGAUUAUGCAAGUCAAAGGAAUCUUCCUUCUGACAAGGGGUCGAGAUGACUACCUGGUUUGAGUUAUGAACGUGUAUCCUGAUGGAAGCAGGAGUAUUAAUUGUUGUCAUCGGAGGAACAGCCGAUUUAAAAUUGUUUAAGGACUUGUUUAAGGAAAAGUUUAUCCCUCCGGCAUUUAUCGAUGGUAGUAAACAAGAGUUUACAAAUAUGAGACAAGGAAGGUGAUGAUCGAGGGAUAUUAUAGAAAGUUUUCAGACUUGCCUUGUUCCAUCCAGAUAUUGUUGUUAUUGGUGGAGGUGUUAUGUUGUUUUAAGCUGGGUGGCAAAAAGGGAAGUGGUAUUUUGGGUGACCACUAUCCAUUGUAGUUCUUAUCAGGAGUAUGCUAGAUGUUGUUGAGUCUUGAGGACUCUGAGAACAUGAGCAACGAGAAUAAAGAAGAAUAAGAAAUGAAUGGGAAUUUAAAGAAGACGAUAAAGUUAAUGAUUCGUCAUAUCAAGGAGAUAGAAAGAUUCAGAGCUUCGAAAGAAGUGAAGCUAGAGUUAAUUCUUCCAGCUGAGGUUUUAAUGUCGCUGGUCAGAGUAAAAGUGAUGGAUAUACUGGUAAUCCCAGAUAUUUGAGACAAGGUGUCUCGAGUAAAGGAAAUGUACUUUGUGCAGCAGGUACAAAAUUAACACUUUGGGAAAUGUGAAAUUAAUGAAUGUGUUUAUGUAAACAGAGGGGACACAUAAUUGUGAAUCGUCCCUAAAAUCAGUUGUACUCAACAAUUUUCCAUGAUAUCAUAGUGUCAAUUCAGCAGAGUUAUGGACUUAGUAGUUUGGUUGGAUUGACCAUGAGUACCGAGAGAUUUGAUGAGUUAUAUGUUCAGCCGUACAGGCCAAAAGAGGUGGAUCCGGCUGACACAUGAGAAAUUGGUGAGUUAUAGGCUCGGCUGUACGGACCACAAGAUGUGGAUCCGGCCGACGUAUUUACUGGGGAAUUGAUGUGUAAGUCGUACAGGUCACUAUAAGUGACUCCGACUAAUGUGCUAGCAUAGAUGGUUGAGCUGGAGAAUCAGCCGUACAGGUCAUUCUAGUUGACUCCGGCUGAUAUAUUUCUGAGUAUGGACAAUGAUGCCAAAGAAAGUAAUGUUGGAACGUGAUAGAGGCGUAUAUGUGUAUUCUAAUGAAAAAAAAAAAUGAUAGUAUUACACCUUUGGGAAUUGUUGCUUACUUAUCGAGACAACGAUGAUUUAUCAGUAUUGCGGGCUGCAGACCGUAAUAUUAAUAACUCAUUCGUGGAUUCGUUAAGCAAGCAAACCGGUAUUUUAUUUUAUGUUAGUGUUGUACUUAUUUAGAAUGUUCAGUAAUAAUAAAGUAUGUAUUGGGUCAGUUAAUUUUAUUCCAUUAGAUUGAUUAUUUAUAGUUGUGACUAGAUGGAAUAUUACGGGAAACCAGUUACUUUCCAUCGAUCUGGAUGACCAGAGAUUACUUUUGUAAGUAUGCAAAAUGGAUUGAGUCAGGCCGUUAUUUAUGCUGUGAGAGCAAAGAGAUUGUUUUCGAAAGGCUGUCAAAAAUACUUAGCUCAUGUGGUGCUAAAUGAUGUUGUUUGGAGUAGUGUGAAUAAUGUCGAAAGAGUUAGACUUUUCUUGAUGUCUUCUCUGAAAGUAUACCUGGAUUGUCUUCAGGCAGAGAUAUGAGGUUCAUUAUUGAUUUGUUGCCAGGUAUAAAUUUAUGUUAAAGAUUGGUUCAUGAUGAGUUAAGGGAAUUGGAAAUUCAGUUGAGAGAAUUGGUUGAUAAAAGUUUUAUUCAACCUAGUACAACACUGUUGAGGAGCACCAGUUUGUUGGUGAGAAAGGAAAUGGACUUAGAGAUUGUUCAUUGAUUAUAGAUAAUGGAAUCGGGUAACGAAUGAGAACCGUUAUCCAUUGUGGUGUAUUGACGCUCAUUUGAUCAGUUCAAAGGUGCUUGUAUAUUUUCAAAGAUUGACUUGAAUACUGUUUAUUAUCAAUUGAAGAUUAUGAGUUAUUGGAUGAAGUAUUCCAAUAAUGCCUUGAUAAAUAGAUAUCAUUUUCAUUGAAGAUAUUCUGGCAUAUUCUGAGCCAGAGCAGAACAUGUAAACGUAUUAAGUCGGUGGAACAAAGAUUGGAAGAAUGUCGGUUGUAUGCUAAGUAGCAAAUGCUAAAGUUAGAUGAAUCAUGUGGCAUUCUGAGAAUUGUUAUAUAUUCUUAAGGUAUUCAAGUGAAUCCUUAAAAGAUAGCAGAAAUUGAGAAAUUGGAACAACCACAAGCCAUAAUUGAGAUUCGGAAAUUCUUAACUUAUCAGGCUAUUUUGGAUGGUUGUGAAAGAAUUUUUAGUCAUUGUUUUGUCAUUGAUGAGACUGUUGAGAAAGGAGGUUAUGUAUGAGUGGGAAGGAAAUUGUGAGCAAAGGAUUCAACAACUGAAGUAUUUCCUCACUCAUGCACGUAUUUUAGUAAUCCCAAAGAAUAAUGGUAAUCAUAAAUUUUUAGUGAUGUUUCUUGAAUGGUAUUGGAUGCAUGUUGAUGCAAAUGUUAGGGUGAUUGCAUACGUUUCACGACAAAUGGAAUCUCAUGAGAUGAAUUACCCUACUGGUGAUUUGGAAGUCACGAUUACCAUCCUUGCUGUGAAGUUAUGGAGACAUUCUAUGUUGAUAAGAAUGCAAGAUUUUACAAAUCAAAAGAGUCUCCAAUAUUUGUUUACUUGGAAGGAUUUUGAUAGGAGGCAGCGAAUGUGAAUUGUAUUGCUUAAUGAACAUGAUUGUACGAUCAGGGUGAUCGUAAAGUUUGUUCUAACUGAAGCACUUGGUGAGAAGACUACAAUAAGAUUAAUGUCUGGCACGUUUGCCAAGAGUAUCAUCUUGUGGAUUGAAACCAACGGAAGAAAAAUUAAGAAUGGAAGAUCGAGAAGAAGUUAUACUUGUUAAAUUUCAAGUUAGGCCUGUUUGGUAAGGUCGUACUUGAAACUUAAAUGCUUGACGAAGAAAUUUAAGAAUUAACCAAGGUAGAGAAAGAAGGUAAGUUAAAUCCUAAGUUAAUCGGACUUAAGUGAUUAUCGAAAAGUUGGUGAAGUUGCUUACAAGCUUGUGAUGCCCUCAGAAUUGGUUAAGGUGCAAAACAUAUUUUAUGAUUCGAUGCGUUGUCACUAGGUGGCAGAUUCGUCACAUAAGAUUCUGGUGUAACUAUUGAGAAUUAAAUUGGAUUCGACUUGAUAAGGAACCAAGGACGACUUUGGAUUGGAAAAAGAAGGUCCUGAGAAAUUAAGACAGAGUAAGUAGUAGUAAAAGCUUUGUGAAGGAAAUCAUUCAGUAGAAAAGUAUGUGGGAGAAAGAGAAUCGGAUGAGAAAGAUUUACCCGAAGCUAUUGUUGGAGUAUGGUUUGAUUUUAGUUGGUUGCUGGAAUUUCGGGGACGAAAUUCUAUAAGGAGGGAAGAUUGUCACAGCCCGUCCCGGAAUUUUAAUUCCGAGGACAUGAAAAGACGAAAAUGCCCUUAAACGGGACUAAGGGGCGAAAAUUUAACAAUUUGGAUUGAGUUGGACACGUGGGAUCCCCACACCCCUCAAUCCUCUCCCUAUUUUCUGCAUACUGUCUCUCUCUCCUCCCUCACGAAUCUCUCUCUCUCUGUCACUCUUCUUCUCCGUUCGAACAAACCAACCACAAAACAACCUUAAACUUCCACCAACGACGGAGUUAAGACUACCAUCGAACUCCUGGAGACUCCACGAUCACGUAGACACCAAUUUCAGGUAAGUUUUACUUCGGAAAACCUAGAUUCUAAACUCCCCGUGAAAGUGCACUGUUCAUGAUCUUCGAAUUGACUUUGUUUUAGGACAAUCCAAGCUCACAGUGAGCUUAGUGAGGUUCCAAGGAAGCUCGGAGUGCUUCGUUGGAAGUUUUUGGACGUAAGAACACGGAGAUCGAUAAGUUCAAAGUUUGGCCGGAGCUUUCGAGGCAUUUUCCGGCGAAUCCCCGGCGAGUUAGGCGUCGAGGUAGGUAUCAAUCUCUUUCGUCUCGUCAAGUACUACAAACUUUCCUUUUUGUUUCACUCAAUUUCGUUGAGUAUUGAAGAAGUUAUACUCAUUUGAAAAAUACCCAGUUUCCGGCGACCUCCGAGGCUUUCGAGGCAGUUUCCGGCCAAACUACGGCGAACUAGGUGUUGGGAAAGGUACCAUUCUCUUUGUCUCUUCAAGGGCUACAACUUUCGUUUUUGAAUCACUUGAUUUCGUUGAGAAAUGACAAAGUUAUGGUAAUUUGAAAAACUGCCCAGAAAACGGCCGCCGGAAAAACCAGUCCGGCGACCCAAGGAAGAAGAAGGUGCUACAGUAAAAAAAUAAAUAAAAAUAAAAUUAUUUUAAAAAUAUGUCGACGUCCGUGACGUCGAGUAGAUCACCGUGGUAUAUUCAUAUACCCAAAUUGAACACCGUAUGAGAAAGUUAUUGAAGAUUGUUGGUUAGGUGUUCAAAUAACGUUUUUAUAGUUUUCACAUUUAGGUGAAAAUGUGAAUUGAUGAUCCGACCGUUGGAUCGUCACCAAACUUUGAUACGUUGUAAUACGUAAUAUUUGAGGAUUAUUGGAACUUACGGAUUGGGAAUCCGAGUUACGGAUCUUCCGGAAUUGGAAUUUGUAAGUCCAUAAUAUAAAAUGUUAACCGUCACUUAGUUUUGGAAAUUGACGGAGAUCCGACCGUUGGAUGGUAAUGAAAUUUUAGGAUGUUGUCCUAGAGGUAUAAUGUGGACCUCUGGAAGUUAUGGAUUUAAAAUCUGAGUGGCAGAUCUUCCGGAUCGAUCUACGUAGUGACGUAUUUUAUAUAAGUUAUAUAUUCUAUCGAUAUGAAUUCUGAGGUUGGAUUUGAUUACUGUUCUAGGCGGCGAUCGUCAUGACGCCUUGAUGUGUGGUGCUAGGGAGUUGUUGGACGAACUCCAGGUGAGUGGGCAGUUUUGUUUUCCGUAUAUACAUAUAUAAUUGACGUUUCCCAGAAAUUGAAAAUGUUACGAAAGUAUGCUUUAAAUGCAAAGUAUAAAAAAGUAUGUUUUCAAAUGCCAUGAGUAGAUUAUAUGAAAGAUAUGAUUUGAGAUAUAUUAGUUGAAAUACCAUGCUUAGAAGUAUGUGAAAAGUAUAUAGAAAUGUGAAUCGAAAUGCCAUGCAUGAAAUGAUAUGAAAAGUAUGAAUUGAGAUAUGAUGCAUAUGUAUGAAUUGGUGCUGUGGACGCACAGGUGAGUAUCAGGUGAGUAUAUUACUGCUAUGAUGAUGUUGAGAGAUAUAUUGAGCUCAUAACCUGCACCUUGGUAUUAGUGCUUAUUAUUAUUCACCGCAUCGCAUGCUCACCUUGGAUCCAAGUAGAUGCUAGUCGUACAGACCACCGGGGGUGGUUCCGACAUGCCAGUCGUACAGACCAUUAGAGGGGUUCCGACUGGUAGGUGACCUUAGAUUAUGUGCACAGAUGAUUGAUGAGAAAAAGCACUAGAGCAUAUUAUUACACCAUUAAGUCGUACAGAUUACAUUAGGUAAUUCCGACUUAUGUGCAGUGUAGUGCCGUACAGGUCAUACUAGGUGACUCCGGCAUGGCCGAACAGGUCACAGUUGGUGACUCCGGUUAUAUGAGAUUUUGAGCUCUACAUUCAGCCGUACAGGACCAUUGUAGGGUCUCCGGUUGAUUUCUUUCUUGCACCUGAUAUGAUUAUUGCUGAUGCAUUCAUACUUAACUGUUGAAUUUAGACAUGGCAUGGCAUGAUUGAUAAAGAUAAAUGUUGAGAUAGUAAAAAUGAAGUUUUGAUAAUAUAUAUGUAUAUUUAUAUUUUACAUUUCUGGGAAAGUAUACAG
Molecule: long non-coding RNA, 7490 nt
Filed under: Malus domestica (apple)
Lineage: Eukaryota; Viridiplantae; Streptophyta; Magnoliopsida; Rosales; Rosaceae
Description: long non-coding RNA (MDOM_LNC008953)
Source: RNAcentral